UCAACCUGGUUGAUCCUGCCAGUAGUCAUAUGCUCGUCUCAAAGAUUAAGCCAUGCAUGUCUAAGUAUAAGCACCUUAUACUGCGAAACUGCGAACGGCUCAUUAAAUCAGUUAUCGUUUAUUUGAUAUUCCCUUACUACAUGGAUACCUGUAGUAAUUCUAGAGCUAAUACAUGCGCAAAAUUCCAAGGACGG
This 194-nucleotide ribosomal RNA is filed under the name uncultured eukaryote. RNAcentral's name for it is "partial 18S ribosomal RNA". It matches the Rfam family "Eukaryotic small subunit ribosomal RNA", at positions 1 to 192 of the family's 1831-position model. The record is from RNAcentral.